CUAAAAACGCUCUGUUUUUCACAAAUAACCCAAACAUUCGUAAGAAUUCAAUCACCGCUCCUUUGUUCCAUCUCUCGACCCCGACUGCAUCUGGCGACGCCGCGACCCCGCCGCCGGCCUGCGUCGUCCGCCGCCCCCAGCCGGCCCACGCUAUGCCUGCAUCGGCAACAUCUCUCCCCUACAGCCGCCGGCCUCUGCCCUCUCCGCACGCGACCUCCUGUCCCUUCCCUUCUCUUCCCCCCAGAUCGAGAAGGGAGGCCAUGGCGCUUUGGCCGUGGCUGGAUCCAGACCAAUCGAUUAGUGGUUCUGCCCGCCCGCUCACCGUCGCGGUAUAUUUGCAGAAAAGUCCUUCUACUUUUUAUGAAUUCAACUCGCGCUCCUCAUGGUAAGUCAACCGAACAGUUAUGCGCAAGAGUAAAAAAAAGAAAAAUACCGGCAGGCCCGUGCUCCCAAUCCCAUCUUCCCAUCCAGCAAGGCAGCGACCACUCAAAAAAAAAAAAAAAUCUUCCCGUCCAGCGCGCUGCCACCUCCUGCCAUGCCCCGCCCUGACUCAUAGUGCGCCACCGGGGCCGCCGCGCGCCGCCACCUCCAACCCGCCUCCCACCUCCAACCCUCUUCCGUUCAGCGUGGUCGUGACUGACGACGCGCGCCUCCUCUGGGAAGAGUCCGUGGGGAAGCAGAGGCCGCGGAGGCAAGGCGACCUCACAUCCCACCCCGACCUCCGGCGGCGCUCCUCCCAGAUCAUACCCAACCCCCGCGCCAUCUGGGGCCCUCCCCCACGCCAUUGCAGAAUCCCAUAUGUGGGGAGGAGGCAGCCCAUAGCCAGGAGCACAGUCAGAUCCAGCCGGUCGACCACAAUGCCCAUGGAGCGCGGGGGAGCAACACGGCCUGACCUGGCAGGGUGGACGCGACUGCAGGCCGUUGCUGAUUUGUGUUCGAAGAGGUGCAGCUAUCGGAGAGCAGCAACAGAGUGACUUGCCUGCGCUCAUUGUUGGUUGCAAACAAGUGAGUUGGUCAGCUGAGAUGGAGUUCAGCAGGAUGGCUAGACAGGCCCAACUUGGUAUUAGUCUUCUCUAAAAUUUUACAUAGAAGGUUUUUCCUAGAUCUAGCAGCAGCGCCGCAGCCAGAGCCGGCACAAGCAAACCCGCCGUGGGCUGAGAGGGGAAGGAGCAGAAGGGGAAGCUGAGGUGUGAUGGGCCGCAGAAGACUUCGCGGAGGCGACGGCUGCGGUCGGCGAGCUCUCGGACUUCCAGCAGCGGCACACUGUCCCCAAACCGACGAGAUCCACAUCAACGGUGCUGAGCCCUCCAUUGCAACAUCGAACAACAACGGAGACAAUACACCCGAGGUGGGCUCCUACAUGCCAGAGAUGAUCUUUGGCCCUCAAGAAAUACAUGCAGGUGAGGCUGAGAGUUUUACAGUUUGAUAUUUUGCUUUUGGUGUUUCGGGUCGAUUAGUUAGUUAGAUAAAAAGGAUAUCCGACAAAUCGACGUGCUAUGUGACUGUAGUUGAGUUUGGUUGCCAACCACACUAGAAUUCAGAAUCUGCCCAUACCCCAUAUUGGAGUGCACGACCGCAGUUCUCUUUUGACCAUGAAUGGUAUCUUGAUAGUAGUUUUUUUGGGAGUAAAGUAUCUUGAUAGUAGUUGGAGUAUCUGCACUAUUUAUCUGGGCAAAGCAGAUAAAAAUUCUGCAGGAUCAGUCCAAAAAAAUUCGCCUAUAUGAACUGCUUAGGAGGAGUUCCGCCACAGCAGGUCACACCCAUCGCCGGUCAGUAAAUGGUGCUUUGUGCUGAAGGAGUCGAUCCGAGAAAUGCUUUAAUCACAUGCACAUGGUGCUUUGUGGAUGCUUGCUCUCGUCAUACUAUCAAGCAAUGGUUCAAAUCUCAUCAAGGUUAUAUAUUGCUUUGACUAUGAAUCCCGAGUUUCUUAUGCCAUAAUUAAACAAUUAUCUCUUUUCAAGUGCUUAUUCAUGGAAUAGGAGUUGUUCAGCACAAUCUUAAAGUGAGCCUAUUUAGAACUUAGGAUUUCCUUGGACACUUUUGGUAGAUAUAUUAGUUAAGGAGUUCCUUUUGUUCUGCCCGUAUUUUACCUCGUUAAUAUUUCAAGUAAUAUUUGUUGUAGACAAAAUAAGUUUUUUUAUCAAAACAUUCAUGGCAUGCAUACCUUUAUGAGUUAUUUAAAAGGCAAACCCAUCUGAUUUUUUUUACACUUCAAACUGAUUUAUAUGCAUGCAGCUAUUGGCCGAAAGCAUCAUUUUAGUUUUACUGAACUGUCAAAAAGUGCAUGUUCUCUUAUAAUCCAAAGCCUGAUCCCAAGGUUGUGAAUGCAUGUGCUUCUUAAUAUUAGUCUAAAAAGAAGCGGAAAUCCCUUUUGGAGCUCAGCCUCCAAAUUCAAAUUUGAAAUUUCAUCAAAAUUCAUAUUUUUACAUUUUAAAAAAUUGUGAAAAAAUACAGAUAUAUAUGAAGGCAUAACACACAUGUGUGUAAAUUUUUAGUUCAAAAUACAUUGAAAUGAGGGCUGUUCAAAAAAGACAAAUCUGGGGCUGUUUAAUACAUGAUACUAUUCAUCCUCCCAGGUGAAGAAUUUGUCUUUUUUUGUACAGGUCGCAACUCAAGGUAUCUCAUCGUGAAUUUUUUACACACAUGUGGGUUUCAUCCUUACAUACAUGCAUAUUUAUUUUCAAAAAAAAUUGAACAUAAAAGUUUGAAUUUGAAUUUUUCAAAAAUAAAGGCCUCCAUGGAGCUUGGCUUCCAAAACACCUCUCUCAGAAAGAAGUGCUUAUUAAAGGGUGUGCUUUUUUGCAAAAUAAAUAAAUGAUAUAAAGCGUGUGCUAAAUGUGAACAUAAGUAACUUAGAAAAUACCUAUCUUUCUUAAUACAUAUCUCUAUUUUGCAUUGAACUUCAAUUUAUUAUUUUUAUUUACUAUGCAUUCAGUUGAGUUGUAAAAUUUAGGGUUGGCUUCUUAUUACAAAUGGUUCCAGUUUCUUAUUUCUUACUGAUACAUAAUGAACAUUGUUUAAAUUCACUGGCAUCUGCUUUAUAAACCGUUUGCUUGAUCUGCAUGCAUGAUAUCUAUUUACUUGCAUCGCUGUACUGUACUGGCAAUCUCUUUUUAUUUUCAACAAUGCCAAACUACCAAAUUGUUUGUUGGUGUUCAUCUAGAAUUCUUAUGCUUAUUUUUUGCAUGUUUCUCUUAGCAUUGUUACUGUAAUCACAAACAGCCGCUUCCAUUACUGUACUUCCUGUAUGUUCAUGACUCUAUCUUAGUUUUACCUGUGUUUCAUGCAUUAUACAAACAUGCCUGAAUAAUGUAAAAAAAUUCCCUUGGUGUUAUCUCUGGUUCAUGGCAACUGGUGUUUGCUUUGUAGUAAACCAACACAUUAAUAUUUUUUUCUCCCGUUGCAA
Aegilops tauschii subsp. strangulata is the source of this 3406-nucleotide long non-coding RNA. RefSeq lists it as uncharacterized. Lineage: Eukaryota; Viridiplantae; Streptophyta; Magnoliopsida; Poales; Poaceae. The record is from RefSeq and is a predicted model, not a curated record.